UCAGCAGCCGCGGUAAUACGGAGGGGGCUAGCGUUGUUCGGAUUUACUGGGCGUAAAGCGCACGUAGGCGGAUUGUUAAGUGAGGGGUGAAAUCCCGGGGCUCAACCCCGGAACUGCCUUUCAUACUGGCAAUCUAGAGUCCGGAAGAGGUAAGUGGAACUCCUAGUGUAGAGGUGGAAUUCGUAGAUAUUAGGAAGAACACCAGUGGCGAAGGCGGCUUACUGGUCCGGAACUGACGCUGAGGUGCGAAAGCGUGGGGAGC
RNAcentral lists this ribosomal RNA (262 nucleotides) under uncultured bacterium. Its description in RNAcentral is "partial 16S ribosomal RNA". It matches the Rfam family "Bacterial small subunit ribosomal RNA", at positions 508 to 769 of the family's 1533-position model. The record is from RNAcentral.